RNAcentral lists this ribosomal RNA (859 nucleotides) under uncultured bacterium. Its description in RNAcentral is "bacterial SSU rRNA". It matches the Rfam family "Bacterial small subunit ribosomal RNA", at positions 26 to 896 of the family's 1533-position model. The record is from RNAcentral.
AGAGUGAACGCUGGCGGCGUGCUUAACACAUGCAAGUCGAACGAGAACGGGUCUUAGCUUGCUAAGAUUGUCAGCUAAGUGGCGCACGGGUGAGUAAUAUAUAGUUAACCUGCCCUAGAGAGAGGGAUAACGUUUGGAAACGGACGCUAACACCUCAUAUGCCUUUAAGUCAUAAGACUGCAAGGGAAACAUUUAUGGCUCUAGGAUGGGACUGUACGGUAUCAGUUAGUUGGUGAGGUAAUGGCUCACCAAGACAAUGACACCUAACUGGUUUGAGAGGAUGAUCAGUCACACUGGAACUGAGACACGGUCCAGACUCCUACGGGAGGCAGCAGUGGGGAAUAUUGCACAAUGGACGAAAGUCUGAUGCAGCAACGCCGCGUGGAGGAUGACACAUUUCGGUGCGUAAACUCCUUUUAUAUAGGAAGAUAAUGACGGUACUAUAUGAAUAAGCACCGGCUAACUCCGUGCCAGCAGCCGCGGUAAUACGGAGGGUGCAAGCGUUACUCGGAAUCACUGGGCGUAAAGAGAAUGUAGGCGGGUAAUUAAGUCAGAAGUGAAAUCCAAUAGCUCAACUAUUGAACUGCUUUUGAAACUGAUAACCUAGAAUAUGGGAGAGGUAGAUGGAAUUUCUGGUGUAGGGGUAAAAUCCGUAGAGAUCAGAAGGAAUACCGAUUGCGAAGGCGAUCUACUGGAACAUUAUUGACGCUGAGAUUCGAAAGCGUGGGGAGCAAACAGGAUUAGAUACCCUGGUAGUCCACGCCCUAAACGAUGCACACUAGUUGUUGCUAUGCUAGACAUAGCAGUAAUGCAGUUAACACAUUAAGUGUGCCGCCUGGGGAGUACGGUCGCAAGAUUA